RNAcentral lists this ribosomal RNA (652 nucleotides) under uncultured Methanosaeta sp. Its description in RNAcentral is "bacterial SSU rRNA". It matches the Rfam family "Archaeal small subunit ribosomal RNA", at positions 1 to 662 of the family's 1478-position model. Lineage: Archaea; Methanobacteriati; Methanobacteriota; Methanomicrobia; Methanotrichales; Methanotrichaceae. The record is from RNAcentral.
UUCUGGUUGAUCCUGCCGGAGGUUACUGCUAUCGAGGUUCGACUAAGCCAUGCGAGUCGAAUGUAGCAAUACAUGGCGUACUGCUCAGUAACACGUGGACAACCUACCCUUAGGUCGGGGAUAAACCCGGGAAACUGGGUAUAAUACCCGAUAGUCCUCGGAUGCUGGAAUGCACCGAGGUCUAAAGCUCCGGCGCCUAAGGAUGGGUCCGCGGCCUAUCAGGUAGUAGUGGGUGUAGCGUACCUACUAGCCUACGACGGGUACGGGUUGUGAGAGCAAGAGCCCGGAGAUGGAUUCUGAGACACGAAUCCAGGCCCUACGGGGUGCAGCAGGCGCGAAAACUUUACAAUGCUGGAAACAGCGAUAAGGGGACCUCGAGUGCCAGGUUACAGAUCUGGCCGUCGUGAUGCCUAAAAAGCAUUGCAUAGCAAGGGCCGGGCAAGACCGGUGCCAGCCGCCGCGGUAACACCGGCGGCUCGAGUGGUAACCGUUAUUAUUGGGUCUAAAGGGUCUGUAGCCGGCCGGAUAAGUCUCUUGGGAAAUCUGGCAGCUUAACUGUCAGGCUUUCAGGAGAUACUGUCUGGCUCGAGGCCGGGAGAGGUGAGAGGUACUUCAGGGGUAGGGGGAAAUCUUGUAAACUGAAGGACCACCA